Molecule: non-coding RNA, 633 nt
Organism: Nicotiana tabacum (common tobacco)
Lineage: Eukaryota; Viridiplantae; Streptophyta; Magnoliopsida; Solanales; Solanaceae
Source: RefSeq, a predicted model, not a curated record
AAACUAAACAAGACUUUUGUUCCAGGGCACAAUAUCAUUUAUGCUCGGGCUCUUCCUUAUAUUCGUUCGCUGGCCGGUUGUGGGUAUCAUUGUGGAAAUAUAUGGAUGCAUUGUUCUCUUUGGCGGUUUCUGGCCAUCCAUCAAGGUUUUUCUUUUCCAGAUUCCUGUAUUUGGAUGGAUUCUGCAGUAUCCUGCUCUGCUACUUGACCGCUUUCGGAGCUGACUGAUUAGUCUGCUCCAAUUAUCCUGUUUCACUCCUCAUCAUCUUUUGAUGAGUUUUUGUGCCAAGGAAGGAAGAAUAUACUCAGCUGGGACAUAUAUAUCCAAAUUGUUUGUCUUGUCACUUCUGUAAUGCAGCAAUUUGCUGUUUACUUGUUGUUCACUUGGUAUUCACUAAUGGCGGACCCAAAUGUAGGAUUAUAGAUUAUGAUUAUUUCACUUGCUGCCUAUAUUUCUGCAGAAAUAUAAUCAAUGUAGUUCUUAACUAGCAAUUCUAAUUCUCCAGUUUUCUUAUACUAUCCUAUCCCCUGUUUCCUCUACCAUUUCUGAGGAAACAUUUUAUAUGUUUGAUUGAGAAAAGGAUUGUAGUAAUUGCUCAGGGGCAAGAAUUGAAAAGCCUUCUCUUUAAUUUGA